GUGUCAGCCGCCGCGGUAAUACGGAGGAUCCAAGCGUUAUCCGGAAUCAUUGGGUUUAAAGGGUCCGUAGGCGGUUUUGUAAGUCAGUGGUGAAAGCCCAUCGCUCAACGGUGGAACGGCCAUUGAUACUGCAAGACUUGAAUUAUUGGGAAGUAACUAGAAUAUGUAGUGUAGCGGUGAAAUGCUUAGAGAUUACAUGGAAUACCAAUUGCGAAGGCAGGUUACUACCAAUAUAUUGACGCUGAUGGACGAAAGCGUGGGGAGCGAACAGGAUUAGAAACCCCUGUAGUCC
Molecule: ribosomal RNA, 292 nt
Filed under: uncultured bacterium
Lineage: Bacteria
Description: partial 16S ribosomal RNA
Rfam family: Bacterial small subunit ribosomal RNA
Source: RNAcentral